RNAcentral lists this ribosomal RNA (301 nucleotides) under uncultured bacterium. Its description in RNAcentral is "partial 16S ribosomal RNA". It matches the Rfam family "Bacterial small subunit ribosomal RNA", at positions 509 to 809 of the family's 1533-position model. The record is from RNAcentral.
CAGUAGCCGCGGGAAUACGUAGGUGGCAAGCGUUGUCCGGAAUUAUUGGGCGUAAAGGGCUCGCAGGCGGUUUCUUAAGUCUGAUGUGAAAGCCCCCGGCUCAACCGGGGAGGGUCAUUGGAAACUGGGAAACUUGAGUGCAGAAGAGGAGAGUGGAAUUCCACGUGUAGCGGUGAAAUGCGUUGAGAUCGGAAAGAACACCAACGGCGAAAGCACUCUGCUGGGCCGACACUGACACUGAGAGACGAAAGCUAGGGGAGCAAACAGGAUUAGAUACCCCAGUAGUCCCUGUCUCUUAUAA